This 894-nucleotide ribosomal RNA is filed under the name uncultured bacterium. RNAcentral describes it as "bacterial SSU rRNA". It matches the Rfam family "Bacterial small subunit ribosomal RNA", at positions 8 to 916 of the family's 1533-position model. The record is from RNAcentral.
AGAGUUUGAUCCUGGCUCAGGACGAACGCUGGCGGCGUGCCUAACACAUGCAAGUCGAGCGGGGAUAGGGUUUCGGCCCUAUUCCAGCGGCGGACGGGUGAGUAACGCGUGAACAAUCUGUCCUAUACAGGGGGAUAACACUUGGAAACAGGUGCUAAUACCGCAUAAGCCCACAGCCCGGCAUCGGGCAGGGGGAAAAGGGGCAACUCGGUAUAGGGUGAGUUCGCGUCCCAUUAACUAGUUGGCGGGGUAAAGGCCCACCAAGGCGACGAUGGGUAGCCGACCUGAGAGGGUGAUCGGCCACACUGGAACUGAGAAACGGUCCAGACUCCUACGGGAGGCAGCAGUGGGGAAUAUUGGGCAAUGGGGGAAACCCUGACCCAGCAACGCCGCGUGAGGGAAGAAGGCUUUCGGGUCGUAAACCUCUGUCCCAUGGGAAGAGAUAGAGACGGUACCAUGGGAGGAAGCCCCGGCUAACUACGUGCCAGCAGCCGCGGUAAUACGUAGGGGGCGAGCGUUGUCCGGAAUGACUGGGCGUAAAGGGCGCGUAGGUGGCCUUACAAGUCUGGAGUGAAAGUCCCGUUUUUAAGGUGGGAAUGGCUUUGGAAACUGUAAGGCUUGAGUGUGGGAGAGGAUAGCGGAAUUCCCGGUGUAGCGGUGAAAUGCGUAGAGAUCGGGAGGAACACCAGUGGCGAAGGCGGCUAUCUGGACCAAGACUGACACUGAAGCGCGAAAGCGUGGGUAGCAAACAGGAUUAGAUACCCUGGUAGUCCACGCGGUAAACGAUGGAUGCUAGGUGUAGGAGGUAUCGACCCCUUCUGUGCCGGAGUAAACACAAUAAGCAUCCCGCCUGGGGAGUACGGCCGCAAGGUUGAAACUCAAAUGAAUUGACGG